GAAAAAACAAAAAGAGAGAUGAGAGCAGCUUCUUCUUCACCACUAAUCUCGUUCUUCCUCCUCCUCGUCGUUCCAUCUUCAUCCUUCUUCAGAUAAAAUGGGUGCAGGACAAUGUUGAAUACCAUAGAAUCAGAGCAUUUGACAGCUUAAGUUUCUCGAGCAUGAAUUCAUUGCUGAUUACUACUAAACCAUCGACAGUUUGUCAAAUAUUAUGAAAGCUCAGGCUUCUGGUAUAGUGGUAGUAUGUCGUCGAUGUGUACAUGAAGUCUCUUAAAGCCUUAUGUCACCAAUUAGGCAAGACUUUGUUUGGCUAUCAUGAAGCUGUGAGAUGCAAGUGUCUGCUGCACAAUCGAGAGAAUGAUUGACAGUAGCUUGAUCUGUAGAUAAAUGACUUGUUCUAGACAAAUAUGGAUGGAACAGACAGUGACUAAGAAGAUUUCAAUCCCAAUGAUACAUUAUUCUAGCAAAAACGUCUGAAGUAUCACAGUGAAAUAAUCUGCGAUACUGCACCUUUAAAUGCGAACAAAGACAAUUCAAUUGACUCGAGAACAGGUACCUGAUAUCUGUUGUUCCCUGACGUUAAAAUUCGCAACUCGUUGACAACCAAAUCAAUUCUCAUUUAUAUAAGGUUA
Molecule: RNA transcript, 632 nt
Organism: Arabidopsis thaliana (thale cress)
Lineage: Eukaryota; Viridiplantae; Streptophyta; Magnoliopsida; Brassicales; Brassicaceae
Exons: 5
Source: RefSeq